RNAcentral lists this ribosomal RNA (429 nucleotides) under Triticum aestivum (bread wheat). RNAcentral's name for it is "partial small subunit ribosomal RNA". The record is from RNAcentral. Lineage: Eukaryota; Viridiplantae; Streptophyta; Magnoliopsida; Poales; Poaceae.
AUGCAUAAGCUCGUAAAUGUUCAUUAUUUGGACAAGACGACAUUUAUGCUUGGAAAUGACGAUGAAGGGGAAGAGGCUAUGGUUUUUGACACAAGUCCAAGCUUUGAUGAUCUUGUAGUUAAAGUGAGAAGCGUGUUACAUUGGAAUGACCCAAAUGCCAAGGUUAAGCUUAUUGGGAGGUAUGACAUUGGAUUGGGAGUAAAGCCCCGAUUAAAGAGUAUGUCCAUCACCUCCCAAUUGCAUUGGAAUGUCUACAAGGAAAAAGUAGAUGCAUCACAAGACAAGUCUCUUGAGAUCUUUGCCACAAAGGUUGAUCCUCCUCCCCCCUUGCAAAUUGAUCUCAACCGCAAUGCAUCCUCCCCAAUACAUGAUGAUAGUGCCGAGGUGUAUAUCCCCAAUUGUUCUAGCCAACCACCAAGUAGCCAACCC